Molecule: long non-coding RNA, 3249 nt
Organism: Stomoxys calcitrans (stable fly)
Lineage: Eukaryota; Metazoa; Arthropoda; Insecta; Diptera; Muscidae
Exons: 2
Source: RefSeq, a predicted model, not a curated record
ACCAGGACCAUGUGCGCUUGCUAUGUGUAGAAAACCUGUCCAGUUUAAAUUAAAGGUGGAAGGAGUUAAAAUUCGGGUCUAUACCACGUUGAUGUUGUGCCGUUUUAAAGAUUUCCUAAUUUCUACCAAAAAACUAAUUGGUGCCAGAUAUCUUAUGAUCUCUUGAAGCAAAAUAAGAGGCAAGUUCGUUGAGGUAGACGAGACGAGAGACCACACAGAUGAUUCAGGCCUGGCUGGAGGGACGUAUUGGCGUUGUUCUCAAAAAGUUUGGCAUGGCUUACUGUGUCGAAUGCCUGCGAUAGGUCCAGUGCCACGAGCACCGUCCUAUCACAAGGUCUGGGCUGAUUGAAGCCACGGCAAAUGUAUGCAGUCUUCGAAAUCCAUGCUGAUGCUCGGCGAAUGGAAAUUCUCCAACGAGGCUCGGUAGGAGUAGUCUCUCAAGCGUCUUGGCUACUGGCUUCAGUAGCGGGAUUACUCUGCCCAUCUUCCGAACUCGGGUACUAUAAGAGAUUUCAAAGACAGUUGAGGACAGUCGUAAGGUACUCGAUCCAGAUUUUUCAACAUCAGUGUAGAGAUUCCGACGGGGCCCAACACCUUCGAUGGCUUGGCGCCACGGAUGACAUUCGUAACAUCGUCCACGGUAAAUUGGGAUGGUUGUCCAUCGGCCCGGAGACCACGGAUACGACGAAUGGCUCGGGUCUCGGGAUGCACAAUAAAUUGACGGCGGAUCUAUUCGGAUGAGUCGCAGAUACGUCGCCAAAAGUGACUGAGAUUUUGUCAUCCCGUCUACCCGAGUUCGAGAGUGACCUAACAGUAGACCACAGUACCUAAAUUACGUUGCUCCAAGUGUUCCAGCCACAAAUUUUGCUUAAGUUCGUUUAGUACACCAUCAUGCUCGUCUGCGAGUACCACUGCCUGUGCUGGGACAUGGGUAUUCGACCGACUAGUAUAAAGCGAGCGGCUGCUUCGUUUAUGAUGUUUUCGAAUUUCCACUCGGCAACUAGCACAUUUGAGGGGGGUGUCAGUUCAUGUGAAGCAGCGAUUGGUGUACUCUCUAAAGUCGACCCAAUUGGCCUUUUUCUGAUUGAUAAACGUCCGGCGCUCAGAGGUUCUGAGUUCGGGUGGUCGGUCGAUGGUGACAUUUAUGGGGAGGUGGUCUGAUCCCAAGGAAAUGACUGCUUGCAAGGUUGCGUUACUCAGGAGAUCAGGGGAUGCAAUGGAAAUGUCUGGCCAGCUGCUGCACCUCCUCAUAAACCUAGUGGGGGCAUCCUCAUUCACCGUACAAAACGUGGAGCCUUCAAUCUGCUCUGCCAAAGCUAUGCCCCGCUGUUCGUUACCUAGGGGAGAAUGCCAUGAAACGGAAUGCGCAUUAAAGUCUCCUUGAACCAGACGAUUAUGGCCAGACAUAGCGUAGCCCACUUAUUUCGGGCUUGUAAGAUUGGCCAUUAACAAGGGUGUGAAGUUAAAGUUGUUUUGAACCAGGAAUGGGUGAGAUUGAAACACAAAAUUAAAAUCAUUAUUUCUGCGGGAAUUUUGGGUGGAUUUUAAAAAAAUUUACAUCCAAAGAAAGCUUAAAUUGAGGAAGAAUCUGUUUCAGUUAGUUUCACUUCUAUAUCUUUAUUUGUGCAGCUGUGAAUUGACACACAAUUUGAGAAUCUGUUUCAGUUGGUUUCACUUCUAUAUCUUCAUUUGUGCAGCUGUGGAUUGACACACAAUUUUCGCAAAAAAUCUGAGAGGCGUUUUUCGGGCAUUUCUAGAAAAGAUUAAAAAAACAAAAGCGACUUUCGAAAGAAACCUAAGGGAGCAGAAUUCCCCAAAGUAAACAACUUUUCUGAAAUCGUUAUAGAAAUUUACAUAUAUUGUUUUUAAUUAAUUGUUGGUCAUACGAACCGCAGUUUGGACUUUUCUGGAGUAAGGGGGAGUACUAUUUCACCAUGUAAUCAGCUUUUCGGUAGCUGAAACAUACACCCGCAAAAUAGAGGCCUAUAUUUGUAUAAACUUUGCGGGCCACAUUUUGGACAUUCCUGGGAUUGAAAAAAAAAGUGGCCCUCAAAUGAAAGUCCCAAGGAAGCAGAAUCCGCCAAUGUAUUGAUGUUGACUGAACUCGUUAUAGAAAUCGAGAUAUUAAAAUUUAUUUGAAUGGGCAUGCAAACAUCAGUUUGGACAUCUCUGGAAGGAAUUCUUUAAAAAUUUUGGUAUGUAUAGUACUGUCCCUACUAUUUCACCAUGUAAUCAGCUUUUCGGUAGCUGAAACAUACAUCCACAAAAUAGAGACCUACAUUUGUAUUAACUUUGCGGGCCACAUUUUGGACAUUUCUGGGAUUAAAAUAAAAAUCCGCCAAUGUAUUGAUGUUGACUGAACUCGUUAUAGAAAUCGAAUAGGCAUGCGAACAUCAGUUUGGACAUCUCUGGAAGGAGUUUUUUAGUAAUUUUGGUAUGUAUGGAAAGGUAUGGGGAGUACCUUUAACCAUGUAAUCAGCUUUCAGGUAGCUGAAACAUACACCCCCAAAAUAGAGGCCUACAUUUGUAUAACUUUGAGGAUUCUGAAUUCGUUAUAGAAAUCGAGAUAUUUCAAUUUUGAUGAAUGGGCAUGGGAGCUACCGUUUGAACAUCUCUUUUCCUAAAAAUAUUAUAUAUUUGGAAAGCUAAAGGUAGCACAAAGCUCCAUAUAAUGGAUCAUCAAAAAAAUUUAUUAAAUUGUGGAUAACUGAAAAUAGAAUCUAAACACCAAAAUCCACCACGUGCAGGAAGUCCACCUUUAAAACGCAAAUAAUAAAUUUUAUUUAUGCAAACGCCACACUGGAACACUAACCUUCGACCUAACCACGGCCCUAGUUUCUGGUGUUUAAAGACGCCUAACCACAAACUACAAUUAUUGCUUGGAACGCCAGUCAAUGAAGUGACAAUACUUAGAAGAACAAACGCCAUUCACUCUUUGUGUGGUUGUUUGUGUACUAUGAAAUCAUCAAAGAAAAAAGCGCACCUAAAUAAAAAAAAUAAACUAGAUUCUAAAAAUAGAAUAAUCCAGAGUUACAAAUUAUUCUUAUUGGCCGCUACGCAAUUGUUCAGACCUUAGUUGUUUUGAGCAAACGACUCGUAUAUAAAAUGACAAAACGACUCGUUUGGCACAAAAUGCGCGCGAGCUCAAAAAAAUGCCUAAAUGUGCUAAAUAUUGCCUGGAUUGCCUGCCAAUUUUUCCAAAAAUCAACAAAAUUUUACAGAUAAAGAGCAAGAAGAAAUAAAUCUUAA